ACGCUCGACACCUACGGGAGCAGCAGUGGGGAAUAUUGCACAAUGGGGGAAACCCUGAUGCAGCAACGCCGCGUGAAGGAAGAAGGUUUUCGGAUCGUAAACUUCUAUCAAUAGGGAAGAAAGAAAUGACGGUACCUAAAUAAGAAGCCCCGGCUAACUACGUGCUAGCAGCCGCGGUAAUCUGAGCGGGCUGGCAAGGC
This 200-nucleotide ribosomal RNA is filed under the name uncultured bacterium. RNAcentral describes it as "partial 16S ribosomal RNA". It matches the Rfam family "Bacterial small subunit ribosomal RNA", at positions 328 to 539 of the family's 1533-position model. The record is from RNAcentral.